UCGGCAUAUAAUUUAAAUGCAUCGUAAGCUGUACACGACGUCUUUUAGACAUCGUAUUGCCAUCACGCCAUCAUCGUAAUCCAUCGUGUAGCCUUCGUGAUCCAUCGUGUAGGCUUCGGCUGAGAUAUGAAGCUUAAAUACCCGUCUUCGGUUAACCUUCGUAUGUCCAUCUUUUGCUAUCGUAUAUAAUUUCGGCACCAUCGUA
This 205-nucleotide long non-coding RNA is filed under the name Mytilus galloprovincialis (Mediterranean mussel). Lineage: Eukaryota; Metazoa; Mollusca; Bivalvia; Mytilida; Mytilidae. The record is from RNAcentral.